Molecule: ribosomal RNA, 403 nt
Filed under: uncultured bacterium
Lineage: Bacteria
Description: partial 16S ribosomal RNA
Rfam family: Bacterial small subunit ribosomal RNA
Source: RNAcentral
GACGAACGCUGGCGGCGUGCCUAAUACAUGCAAGUCGAACGCACUGGGGACGGUUGAGUAACACGUGGGUAACCUCCCAUCAGAGGGGAUAACACUUGGAAACAGGUGCUAAACCGAUACUGGUUGAUGGACCCGCGGUGCAUUAGCUAGUUGGUGAGGUAAUGGCUCACCAAGGCGACGAUGCAUAGCCGGCCUGAGAGGAUGAUCGGCCACACUGGGACUGAGACACGGCCCGGACUCCUACGGGAGGCAGCAGUGGGGAAUAUUCGGCAAUGGACGAAAGUCUGACCGAGCAACGCCGCGUGAGUGAAGAAGGUUUUCGGAUCGUAAAACUCUGUUGUUAGAGAAGCGGUAUCUAACCAGAAAGCAACGGCUAACUACGUGCCAGCAGCCGCGGUAAUAC